RNAcentral lists this transfer RNA (73 nucleotides) under Ovis aries (sheep). It matches the Rfam family "tRNA". Rfam says of the family: Transfer RNA (tRNA) molecules are approximately 80 nucleotides in length. Their secondary structure includes four short double-helical elements and three loops (D, anti-codon, and T loops). Lineage: Eukaryota; Metazoa; Chordata; Mammalia; Artiodactyla; Bovidae. The record is from Rfam by way of RNAcentral.
UCCCUGAUGGCUCAGUGGUUAAGACUCCAUGCUUUCAAAGCAAGUGGCAUGGGUUCAAUUCCUGGUCAGAGAA